This 410-nucleotide ribosomal RNA is filed under the name uncultured microorganism. RNAcentral's name for it is "bacterial SSU rRNA". It matches the Rfam family "Bacterial small subunit ribosomal RNA", at positions 9 to 417 of the family's 1533-position model. The record is from RNAcentral.
GAGUUUGAUCUUGGCUCAGAUUGAACGCUGGCGGCAUGCCUUACACAUGCAAGUCGAACGGCAGCAUGAUCUAGCUUGCUAGAUUGAUGGCGAGUGGCGAACGGGUGAGUAAUACAUCGGAACGUGCCCUGUAGUGGGGGAUAACUAGUCGAAAGAUUGGCUAAUACCGCAUACGACCUGAGGGUGAAAGUGGGGGACCGCAAGGCCUCAUGCUAUAGGAGCGGCCGAUGUCUGAUUAGCUAGUUGGUGGGGUAAAGGCCCACCAAGGCGACGGAUCAGUAGCUGGUCUGAGAGGACGAUCAGCCACACUGGGACUGAGACACGGCCCAGACUCCUACGGGAGGCAGCAGUGGGAAUUUGGACAAUGGGCGAAAGCCUGAUCCAGCAAUGCGCGUGUGUGAAGAAGGCUC